GACGAACGCUGGCGGCGUGCUUAACACAUGCAAGUCGAACGGAAAGGCCCUGCUUUUGUGGGGUGCUCGAUUGGCGAACGGGUGAGUAACACGUGAGUAACCUGCCCUUGACUUUGGGAUAACUUCAGGAAACUGGGGCUAAUACCGGAUAGGAGCUCCUGCUGCAUGGUGGGGGUUGGAACGUUUCGGCGGUUGGGGUUGGACUCGCGGCUUAUCAGCUUGUUGGUGGGGUAGUGGCUUACCAAGGCUUUGACGGGUAGCCGGCCUGAGAGGGUGACCGGCCACAUUGGGACUGAGAUACGGCCCAGACUCCUACGGGAGGCAGCAGUGGGGAAUAUUGCACAAUGGGCGGAAGCCUGAUGCAGCAACGCCGCGUGCGGGAUGACGGCCUUCGGGUUGUAAACCGCUUUCGCCUGUGACGAAGCGUGAGUGACGGUAAUGGGUAAAGAAGCACCGGCUAACUACGUG
This 468-nucleotide ribosomal RNA is filed under the name uncultured bacterium. RNAcentral's name for it is "partial 16S ribosomal RNA". It matches the Rfam family "Bacterial small subunit ribosomal RNA", at positions 28 to 507 of the family's 1533-position model. The record is from RNAcentral.